CAGCCGCCGCGGGAAUACGUAGGGUGCGAGCGUUAAUCGGAAUUACUGGGCGUAAAGCGUGCGCAGGCGGUUCGUUAAGACAGAUGUGAAAUCCCCGGGCUUAACCUGGGAACUGCAUUUGUGACUGGCGAGCUAGAGUAUGGCAGAGGGGGGUAGAAUUCCACGUGUAGCAGUGAAAUGCGUAGAGAUGUGGAGGAAUACCGAUGGCGAAGGCAGCCCCCUGGGCCAAUACUGACGCUCAUGCACGAAAGCGUGGGGAGCAAACAGGAUUAGAUACCCCAGUAGUCCCUGUCUCUUAUAC
This 301-nucleotide ribosomal RNA is filed under the name uncultured bacterium. RNAcentral's name for it is "partial 16S ribosomal RNA". It matches the Rfam family "Bacterial small subunit ribosomal RNA", at positions 509 to 807 of the family's 1533-position model. The record is from RNAcentral.